AGUGAACGCUGGCGGUAGGCCUAACACAUGCAAGUCGAACGGCAGCACAGUAAGAGCUUGCUCUUACGGGUGGCGAGUGGCGGACGGGUGAGGAAUACAUCGGAAUCUACUUUUUCGUGGGGGAUAACGUAGGGAAACUUACGCUAAUACCGCAUACGACCUACGGGUGAAAGCAGGGGCUCUUCGGACCUUGCGCGAUUGAAUGAGCCGAUGUCGGAUUAGCUAGUUGGCGGGGUAAAGGCCCACCAAGGCGACGAUCCGUAGCUGGUCUGAGAGGAUGAUCAGCCACACUGGAACUGAGACGCGGUCCAGACUCCUACGGGAGGCAGCAGUGGGGAAUAUUGGACAAAGGGCGCAAGCCUGAUCCAGCCAUACCGCGUGGGUGAAGAAGGCCUUCGGGUUGUAAAGCCCUUUUGUUGGGAAAGAAAAGCAGCAGGUUAAUACCCCGCUGUUCUGACGGUACCCAAAGAAUAAGCACCGGCUAACUUCGUG
RNAcentral lists this ribosomal RNA (492 nucleotides) under uncultured bacterium. RNAcentral's name for it is "partial 16S ribosomal RNA". It matches the Rfam family "Bacterial small subunit ribosomal RNA", at positions 29 to 507 of the family's 1533-position model. The record is from RNAcentral.